Long non-coding RNA from Camelus dromedarius (Arabian camel), 1373 nucleotides. RefSeq lists it as uncharacterized. The transcript has 5 exons. NCBI's taxonomy places the organism in Eukaryota, Metazoa, Chordata, Mammalia, Artiodactyla, Camelidae. The record is from RefSeq and is a predicted model, not a curated record.
UAAGUUAAAACGGAGCAAAUACGGGAACCAGGGCGUCUCUGCCUUUCCAGUGUGACUGUGUCUGACCCAUUCCCCGGUUAACGCCCGGAUUUGCCGUGUCUCCUCCUACGGUCCUUCGACUGCAUCUCAGAGGGGGCCUUCCCGGGGCUCUGCCCAGAGAGAGGGGGCCUUGGCCCAGGCUCUGCCCGCCUGGUCCCAGGGAACUGCCGGCCGGGUCUAGGACCGGGAGCUGCUCGGGGAGGAGCGGACGGGAGUGCCGGAAGCCCUGCAGCCCUGCCCCUGGUGCAGUGAUAAACUGGAGCCGGACCUGUGUGUGUGGAUUGCGUGUUCCCUUAUUGUCUUCUCUUUCCGAAUUAAGUUACUGACGCCCUGAACACAGGAGGGUUUGUCUCCCGUUGUUCUCCAGUGAAGGCAAGCACGGCGCGGCCAGACAAGGUGUCCUCUCCAGGUGUAGACGUCUAAGUUGCGCUGUUUUGUCUCGACGCACGGUGGACGACUUCAGCUGUCUCCCUGCCUUCACUGCUGGGACUGCGAACGGUGCACUGCCCUGGAAGCUCUCCCUGCGAAACGUCCCCUAGCCCCGGGUGCACACGGCUGCUGCCGGCGCGGAUCUGGGUUUGGUUCCUUCGGGAUUUGGAGAGUGAGGCCUUCUAGGACCUCUCUCCACUGGAUGCUGGGCUGACGUUUUAUUUGGACCACACAGAGGCAACCCGGAUAUUCAUGCUGCCAGAAUAAAUUUCAGAGUGCAGCUUGUAAAACCACGGUUACCAGGAUUUGAUCGUGAGGUCUGUGUGGCGGGUUGUGACUGGUAUUUUAAAGUCAGACAGCAGGAAAUGGAGCGGAACAGAAAAUACCAGGUUUCAUCGGACGUACUGAGAAUAGGUGUUCUGUCAUCAGACUCUGAGCUCAAAGACUCACCCAGAUGUGCACAUAUGGGCGAUAGGGUUCCAGGAAUGAGACAGGAAGGGAGGGCACAGCUGUUCAAAAAAUGAGGAGGGGGGCACAGUCACUGAGAAAAGCAGGCUAUGACACAAAUUGGCAGGAACCAGCUAAAAUAAAGGUGGCGCCAAGCGUGAUCUGGUCAUCGAUGCAUCGUUCCUUCAUUUUAAUACUGAAACUCAUUCCCCUCCCGCAGGACAGGCGCCAUGACAGUUCCAGGGAUGACCACAAAGGACCCAAAUGUGGGCAGCGGCCCAGCCCCUCCCCUAGAACAGCAGGAAUGCCCCUCAGGCUCACUAGCGUGCGACAUUCCCCAGACCUCAGGCGCUGACAGCCCCGGGCCGGGCCCCUCGCCCUGGGACGGUCCCCACUCUGUCUCUGGGACGGUCCCCACUCUGUCUCUGGCUGUGCAUCCCUUUGAAUAAAUCCGCUUU